CCCCUUGUGGUGUAGUUGGAUAUCACGUUCGGCUGUAAACCGAAAGGUCGCUGGCUCGACUCCGGCCGAGGGGA
Molecule: transfer RNA, 74 nt
Filed under: Fonsecaea pedrosoi CBS 271.37
Lineage: Eukaryota; Fungi; Ascomycota; Eurotiomycetes; Chaetothyriales; Herpotrichiellaceae
Description: tRNA-Tyr (GTA) (tRNA-Tyr-GTA-1-1)
Rfam family: tRNA
About the family: Transfer RNA (tRNA) molecules are approximately 80 nucleotides in length.
Source: RNAcentral